This is a long non-coding RNA of Carassius gibelio (silver crucian carp), 1675 nucleotides long. RefSeq lists it as uncharacterized. NCBI's taxonomy places the organism in Eukaryota, Metazoa, Chordata, Actinopteri, Cypriniformes, Cyprinidae. The record is from RefSeq and is a predicted model, not a curated record. The transcript has 4 exons.
UAAUGGGGGUGGUUGCUAGGGUGUUGCUAUGUGGUUGCUAGGGUACCCGGGGUGGUUGCUAGGGCGGUUGCUAGGGUCCCCAUGAUGGUUGCUAGGGCCGUUGCUAGGGUACUCAGGGUGGUUGCUAGGGUAAUCGGGGCGGUUGCUAGGGUGUUGCUAUGCGGUUGCUAGGGUACCCGGGGUGGUUGCUAGGGCGGUUGCUAGGGUCCCCAUGAUGGUUGCUAGGGCCGUUGCUAAGGUACCCAGGGUGGUUGCUAGGGUAAUUGGGGCGGUUGCUAGGGUGUUGCUAUGUGGUUGCUAGGGUAACCGGGGUGGUUGCUAGGGCGGUUGCUAUGGUAACCUGGGUGGUUGCUAGGCAGUUGCUAUGGUACUUGGGGUGGUUGCUAAGGUGUUGCUAGGCGGUUGCUAGGGUGUUUUGGCUGGUUGCUAGGCAGUUGCUAUGGUCUCCUGGGUGGUUGCUAUGAUGUUACUAGGUGGUUGGUAGUUGUCACAGAUGGUCACUAUGUAGUUAUUAUAGAGUUCUUAGCCCAUUUGAGCACUUAGCUAAUCACUAUUAGCAUGUAGCUAAUCACUGCUAGCAUGACUAGCAUGUUGGAAGUCCAGUGUGCUAGCAUGAGUCAAAAAAUCCAACCGCCAUGUCUGUACGAUGUUCUGAUGCAGAGAUAUAGGUCGUGCAAAACGGUUGCUAGGGUACUCCGUUUGGUUGCUAUGGAGUGGCUUGGCAGCUGCCAAUGGUGAUACUCCAAAGGCUGCUCGCCAAUAUAAACCAACCCCCAUGCCUCUAUGAUGUUCUGAUGCAGAGAUAUAGAUCUUGUAAAACGGUUGCUAGGGUACUGUGUUUGGUUGCUAGGGAGUGGCCUGGCAGCUGCCAAUGAUGAUACUCCGAUGUCUGCUUGCUAGUAUGAAUGACAUAAACCAACCCCCAUGCCUUUAUGAUAUUCAGAUUUGAAGAUAUCUCUCUAUGCUUUUGGUCGCUAGGGAGGUCCAAAUGGUUGCUAGGGCGUGGCUAUGAAGUGUUGAAGGUGAUUCGUGAUUGGCCAUUUGCUGCCCCGAGUCAAACGAGCCAACCCUCAUGUUUCUAUGACACUUCUAUCCAAAGUUAUUCAUUUUAUAUUUUUCAAUGGAAGUCUAUGGAGCUUGUUACUAAGGGGCUUGUUAAUGGUUGCUAGGGCGUGGCUUGAUAGCCUCAUAACGACCCUGAGAGACUGAUUGGUUGCCUGAUUCAAAUGAGCCCACCCCCUUGUCUCUAUGACAUUGUGAUAGGUAGUUAUGUUCAAUGCAAAAUCCCUAUGUAAUUUCCCACAGUAGGUGAAACACAAUGUUUCAUGGGCGAUCCCUCACCAUUGGUAUAGAAUGGGGCAACUUUGGGGGGCUCUUGCGCCCCAGGGGUACAACUUAUACCCCAUUGCGGGGUAUGUUCUCACACAGCCUGAUAGCCUCUCCAAAUGUAGUGAUUCACAUGUUUCUGCGAAAUUCUCUCUCGGAGCUAUGAUCCGUCAAAGUUGGCCGCAAUGCAUUGUCUAUGGGAUUUUUCGCCCGAUUUUUCGCCCGGUGUACGAACAUCGUACGCCCGAUCGCUUAUAAAAGUCAUAGCACACCAUUCCCGUAUAGGCCGCACGAUUUGACGCCUGUUUCGUUGGUCUGUGACGAAAACUGCGGGACUAGUUACGCGCCG